GCCGGAGUGGCUUAGCGGUUAAAGCGCUGCGCUCAUAUCGCAGAGAUCGUGGGUUCGAUUCCCACCUCCGGCA
This 73-nucleotide transfer RNA is filed under the name Candidatus Aenigmatarchaeota archaeon. RNAcentral describes it as "tRNA-Met". It matches the Rfam family "tRNA". From Rfam's summary of the family: Transfer RNA (tRNA) molecules are approximately 80 nucleotides in length. Their secondary structure includes four short double-helical elements and three loops (D, anti-codon, and T loops). Lineage: Archaea; Nanobdellati; Candidatus Aenigmatarchaeota. The record is from RNAcentral.